CCUACGGGAGGCAGCAGUGGGGAAUUUUGGACAAUGGGCGCAAGCCUGAUCCAGCCAUGCCGCGUGUGGGAAGAAGGCCUUCGGGUUGUAAACCACUUUUGUCAGGGAAGAAACGGCUUUUUCUAAUACAGAGAGCUAAUGACGGUACCUGAAGAAUAAGCACCGGCUAACUACGUGCCAGCAGCCGCGGUAAUACGUAGGGUGCAAGCGUUAAUCGGAAUUACUGGGCGUAAAGCGUGCGCAGGCGGCUUUGCAAGACAGAUGUGAAAUCCCCGGGCUCAACCUGGGAACUGCAUUUGUGACUGCAUGGCUAGAGUACGGUAGAGGGGGAUGGAAUUCCGCGUGUAGCAGUGAAAUGCGUAGAUAUGCGGAGGAACACCGAUGGCGAAGGCAAUCCCCUGGACCUGUACUGACGCUCAUGCACGAACGACGUGGGAGGACGAACGAGGAGUAGUACUACCGUACGGUAGUACCGACCGACCCGUAACCGUACUAGU
This 497-nucleotide ribosomal RNA is filed under the name uncultured bacterium. RNAcentral describes it as "bacterial SSU rRNA". It matches the Rfam family "Bacterial small subunit ribosomal RNA", at positions 338 to 820 of the family's 1533-position model. The record is from RNAcentral.